Molecule: ribosomal RNA, 301 nt
Filed under: uncultured bacterium
Lineage: Bacteria
Description: partial 16S ribosomal RNA
Rfam family: Bacterial small subunit ribosomal RNA
Source: RNAcentral
CAGUCGCCGCGGGAAUACGAAGGGGGCUAGCGUUGUUCGGAUUUACUGGGCGUAAAGCGCACGUAGGCGGACUUUUAAGUCAGGGGUGAAAUCCCGGGGCUCAACCCCGGAACUGCCUUUGAUACUGGAAGUCUUGAGUAUGGUAGAGGUGAGUGGAAUUCCGAGUGUAGAGGUGAAAUUCGUAGAUAUUCGGAGGAACACCGGUGGCGAAGGCGGAUCACUGGACCAUUACUGACGCUGAGGUGCGAAAGCGUGGGGAGCAAACAGGAUUAGAUACCCCCGUAGUCCCUGUCUCUUAUAA